This 483-nucleotide ribosomal RNA is filed under the name uncultured bacterium. Its description in RNAcentral is "bacterial SSU rRNA". It matches the Rfam family "Bacterial small subunit ribosomal RNA", at positions 32 to 524 of the family's 1533-position model. The record is from RNAcentral.
AAUCAACGCUGGCGGCGUGCCUAACACAUGCAAGUCGAACGCGAAAGCCCGCAAGGGUAAGUAGAGUGGCGCACGGGUGAGUAACACGUGGACAACCUGCCUUCGAGUGGGGAAUAAACCUUCCGAAAGGGGGGCGUAAUACCGCAUAAAACCUCGGAACACAAGUUCUGGGGUUGAAAAGAGCAAUUUGCUCGAAGAGGGGUCCGCGCCUGAUUAGCUAGUUGGUGAGGUAACGGCUCACCAAGGCUCGAUCAGUAGCCGUCCUGAGAGGGAGCACGGCCACACUGGAACUGAGACACGGUCCAGACUCCUACGGGAGGGCAGCAGUGGGGAAUUUUUGGCAAUGGGCGAAAGCCUGACCAAGCAACGCCGCGUGGGUGAUGAAGUAUCUUGGGUACGUAAAACCCUUUCGGCAGGGACGAACCUAAUGACGGUACCUGCGGAAGAAGCCCCGGCUAACUCCGUGCCAGCCGCCGCCGUAAU